GAUGAAGAACGCAGCGAAAUGCGAUACGUAGUGUGAAUUGCAGAAUUCAGUGAAUCAUCGAAUCUUUGAACGCACAUUGCGCCCCUUGGUAUUCCAUGGGGCAUGCCUGUUCGAGCGUCAUUUGUACCUUCAAGCUUUGCUUGGUGUUGGGUGUUUGUCUCGCCUUUGCGUGUAGACUCGCCUUAAAAUAAUUGGCAGCCGGCGUAUUGAUUUCGGAGCGCAGUACAUCUCGCGCUUUGCACUCAUAACGACAGCGUCCAAAAGUACAUUUUACACUCUUGACCUCGGAUCAGGUAGGGAUACCCGCUGAACUUAAGCAUAUCAAUAAGCGGAGGA
Molecule: unclassified non-coding RNA, 336 nt
Filed under: soil metagenome
Description: partial contains 5.8S ribosomal RNA, internal transcribed spacer 2, and large subunit ribosomal RNA
Rfam family: 5.8S ribosomal RNA (bases 1-120)
Source: RNAcentral